Molecule: ribosomal RNA, 492 nt
Filed under: uncultured bacterium
Lineage: Bacteria
Description: partial 16S ribosomal RNA
Rfam family: Bacterial small subunit ribosomal RNA
Source: RNAcentral
AGUGAACGCUGGCGGCAGGCCUAACACAUGCAAGUCGAACGGAAGCACAGUAAUUGCUCGUGGUUACGGCGGCCGAGGGGCGGAUAAUGCCUGGAAACAUCGCAGGCAGCGUUUGAUUAGGUCAGAACGUAGGGGAUCAUACGCCAAAACCGCAGACGGCGUACGUGGGAGAGCAGCGGACCUUCCGCCCUCGGACGAGCCUAUGUCGCAAUGUCGGAUUGGCUAGUUGGCGGGGUAAAGGCCCACCAAGGCGACGAUCCGUAGCUGGUCUGAGAGGAUGAUCAGCCACACUGGAACUGAGACACGGUCCAGACUCCUACGGGAGGCAGCAGUGGGGAAUAUUGGACAAUGGGCGCAAGCCUGAUCCAGCCAUACCGCGUGGGUGAAGAAGGCCUUCGGGUUGUAAAGCCCUUUUGUUGGGAAAGAAAAGCAGCAGGUUAAUACCCCGCUGUUCUGACGGUACCCAAAGAAUAAGCACCGGCUAACUUCGUG